RNAcentral lists this ribosomal RNA (429 nucleotides) under Acidobacteriota bacterium. RNAcentral describes it as "Acidobacteria bacterium partial 16S ribosomal RNA". It matches the Rfam family "Bacterial small subunit ribosomal RNA", at positions 355 to 776 of the family's 1533-position model. The record is from RNAcentral. Lineage: Bacteria; Pseudomonadati; Acidobacteriota.
UGGGGAAUUUUGGACAAUGGGGGAAACCCUGAUCCAGCCAUCCCGCGUGUGCGAUGAAGGCCUUCGGGUUGUAAAGCACUUUUGGCAGGAAAGAAACGUCAUGGGUUAAUACCCCGUGAAACUGACGGUACCUGCAGAAUAAGCACCGGCUAACUACGUGCCAGCAGCCGCGGUAAUACGUCGGGUGCAAGCGUUAAUCGGAAUUACUGGGCGUAAAGCGUGCGCAGGCGGUUCGGAAAGAAAGAUGUGAAAUCCCAGAGCUCAACUUUGGAACUGCAUUUUUAACUACCGGGCUAGAGUGUGUCAGAGGGAGGUGGAAUUCCGCGUGUAGCAGUGAAAUGCGUAGAUAUGCGGAGGAACACCGAUGGCGAAGGCAGCCUCCUGGGAUAACACUGACGCUCAUGCACGAAAGCGUGGGGAGCAAACAGG